Molecule: long non-coding RNA, 2374 nt
Filed under: Panax ginseng (ginseng)
Lineage: Eukaryota; Viridiplantae; Streptophyta; Magnoliopsida; Apiales; Araliaceae
Description: long non-coding RNA (PGIN_LNC001175)
Source: RNAcentral
UAUUAAUAACCUUCAUCAGUAAUAAAUCAAAGAUUUAGAACAUAUGGUAGAUGAUAAAACUUUUCAACUAUAGUUGCAGCGAAACGAGCAAUCCAUUAGAAGAGUCGAAUAGAUUAUAAAGUCUAUUAUCUUCUCCACAUUAAAAGUCCACCAACAAUAUUUUAACCUUGUAACAUCAAUCAACAGUUUCUGUCCACAAUCGUGUGAAAAACUCAUAAUCAUAUUUGUAGUUCUAAAUUCCUCUUCUCAUCCAAGACGAAGAUAAUUUUCAUCACAUGUAUUUACCUGAAACAUCAAAGAUCAUAGUUAUACCAAAUCACAGUUCAUGUUCAUAAUCAUACUAAUAAAUUCAUCUUUGUACCACGAGCCAAAGUUAUUCAUCUACAGUUCAUCUUUGCACUACAUGCCAAAGAUAUUCAACAACAGAUCAUCUUUGCACUACGGGCCAAAUAUAUUCAUCAAUAAUUGAUCUUUGCACUACAGGCCAAAGAUAUUCAUAUCUCAAAGAAACAUAUAAUCAUUUUAGAAUUUAUAUAAACAAUAAUUAUAACUAUAUUGAUCAAUUCACAUUUACACUUAAGUUAAAGAUUCAAUUAUACAAGACACUCAAAAAAUUUACACUGAAAGACACUCAAGAAGGUGACGAUUUAAGUGGUCCUUCCUUCCGUAACUGGAGUGAAUUCAGGCGGUGGUGGCGAUGGAUAUGAAUAUUGGAUGAUGGUAACCAAACCUUCAUACCAAGGUAACCAAACUGUCAUAUCAAAGUAACCAAUCAACCUCCACACUUUAAAUUUUUUUCUUAGUACAGUUGGUUACCAAACCUUUAGAUCAAGGUAAGCAAACUUUCGUACCAAGGUAACAAAACCUUCAUACCAAAGUACCUAAUUCACAUCCACACCUGCAUUUUUUAAUAGUGCAGUUGGUAGCCAAACCUUCAGACCAAGGUAACCAAUUCAAUUUUAUUAAGUUACCAAUUUCGUUUGAAUGUGAUGCAGUUGGUUGUCAACCAUUCAUACAAAGGUAACCAUUUUAUUAUUUAUGAGUAACAAAAUAGUUAUAAAAAAAAAUUCAGAACAUUAAAAGUUACAUCUAUUUAUUUUUAAACUUUUUGUAAGGCGAAUCUUCUUUUUAUUCUCAUUGGCAUUUUGGACAAGGGAUAUUCGCGACGGUGUAGCGGUAGAGUAUGUGCGGUGCGGCGGUGUAGCGACGGUGUAACGGCAGUGUAGCGACGGUGUAACGGCAGUGUAGCGACGAAAAUUCGCGACGGUGUAGCGACGGAGUAUGUGAGGAAAAUGAUGAUUUGAAUUUGAAUAUUUAAAUUUAAAUUAUAAUUUUGAAUUUAUUUUUGUUGUUAGAUCCAAAUAUUUGAAUUUGAAUUAUUAAUUAUGACAGUUAUUUGUCCUUGAUUUUAGGUUUCUUUAUUAAUGUGAAUUGUAUUAUUUUUAUAAUAUGGGUCCUAAUUACACUCUUUUGAUAAUUAUUUAGUUGAUGCAUUUUUCUUGUAAUUACUUUCUAUUUGUUGUAUACUUAUGUAAAGGACCCAUUAUAUAAUCCAAAAAGCUAAAAUUCUAAAAUCCAUAUCCAAAGAAAAUGGUUAAUUAAAACCUUCAACCUUGUAGUUAUUGACCUUCCAGAAAAAACUCUAUCUGCAAAUCAAAAAAACAUAUAGACAUAAAUCGGUUAAAUAGUUAUAAAAUUAAAAAAGAUUUAUUGCAGAAUCUUCGCAAGGAGAUAGAUGCUUAAAAUUAGUAUUGAGAUGUUUCUAAUCAACUUAACAGUACUCCACACUUUUAACCCUAGGGCAUUAUUGUUUAAAAAAAAUGACACAUCAUAUAUGCACAACACAAAACAAGUCGAGCGAGCUGAAAUUGAGAAGACUACAAUAAUAAAAGCGUUGUAAUUAAGCCAAUAACACUACCACUGUUAAAAAUUAAAGAAAAUUCAAAUAUUCUUCUUCAACACUCAAGACAACAAAAAAUGAAACCAACUAUGAGAGCUUAACAGUUCUUUAGUUUCGUGCCUGAAGUAAAAAAAGUAAUAUAGAGAAAAAAUUUAGAAUUCAAACUCCAUUCAAGUCACGAAAUUUUAAGCUGCUGCGUUUAAAUAAUAAAUUGUGAAUUUUCCAAAACUAUAGCUAUAACAUUACUAAAAAACUUAUGCUAUCUUUUUAGGCCCAUAAAUAUGGAACAAUAAUAUUAUUAGUCAAAUGCAAUCAAGUAAUUAAUGAUCUUAAGCUCAAAUUCACCAAACAGUUAACUUCAAACAAUAAAAGAUUAUUAGAAUGAAAGUAGUACAAAAGUACAAGUUUAGAACACUUACAAUCUCAUCACCUCUUCCGUGUUGCAAUUCAUCACUUGUUCUGCAGUCAGCGAAU